UGGGGAAUAUUGGACAAUGGGGGCAACCCUGAUCCAGCCAUGCCGCGUGAGUGAUGAAGGCCUUAGGGUUGUAAAGCUCUUUUAGCAGGGAAGAUAAUGACGGUACCUGCAGAAAAAGCCCCGGCUAACUUCGUGCCAGCAGCCGCGGUAAUACGAAGGGGGCUAGCGUUGCUCGGAAUCACUGGGCGUAAAGCGCACGUAGGCGGCUUCUUAAGUCAGGGGUGAAAUCCUGGAGCUCAACUCCAGAACUGCCUUUGAUACUGAGGAGCUCGAGUCCGGGAGAGGUGAGUGGAACUGCGAGUGUAGAGGUGAAAUUCGUAGAUAUUCGCAAGAACACCAGUGGCGAAGGCGGCUCACUGGCCCGGUACUGACGCUGAGGUGCGAAAGCGUGGGGAGCAAACAGG
This 404-nucleotide ribosomal RNA is filed under the name uncultured bacterium. RNAcentral's name for it is "bacterial SSU rRNA". It matches the Rfam family "Bacterial small subunit ribosomal RNA", at positions 355 to 776 of the family's 1533-position model. The record is from RNAcentral.